RNAcentral lists this ribosomal RNA (498 nucleotides) under uncultured bacterium. Its description in RNAcentral is "bacterial SSU rRNA". It matches the Rfam family "Bacterial small subunit ribosomal RNA", at positions 28 to 573 of the family's 1533-position model. The record is from RNAcentral.
AACGAACGCUGGCGGCAUGCCUAACACAUGCAAGUCGAACGAGACCUUCGGGUCUAGUGGCGCACGGGUGCGUAACGCGUGGGAAUCUGCCCUCAGGUACGGAAUAACUCAGGGAAACUUGAGCUAAUACCGUAUAAUGACUUCGGUCCAAAGAUUUAUCGCCUGGGGAUGAGCCCGCGUCGGAUUAGCUAGUUGGUGAGGUAAAGGCUCACCAAGGCGACGAUCCGUAGCUGGUCUGAGAGGAUGAUCAGCCACACUGGGACUGAGACACGGCCCAGACUCCUACGGGAGGCAGCAGUGGGGAAUAUUGGACAAUGGGCGCAAGCCUGAUCCAGCAAUGCCGCGUGAGUGAUGAAGGCCUUAGGGUUGUAAAGCUCUUUUACCCGGGAAGAUAAUGACUGUACCGGGAGAAUAAGCCCCGGCUAACUCCGUGCCAGCAGCCGCGGUAAUACGGAGGGGCUAGCGUUGUUCGGAAUUACUGGGCGUAAAGCGCACGUA